AGUAUACAUGUAUUUCCGAGGCAGUUGGCAGGCUGUUGAGUUAUGUCACACCCCCGAACCAGACGGCGGAAACGUCCGAGGGCUGUUGUGACUCAAUUGAAUACCAUUACAUUAAAUAUACAUGAAACAUAACAUCAUUCAUCACCAUGCAUUGAGAUAGUAUAACUGGUAGAGUUUACAUUUAGUACAUUGUUUUAAACAUUACAUCCCCAAAAAUAAAUUGUUCGAUAAUAGUUAAACAAACAGCAAGUCAUCACUGAGUACAUUUUUCCCUCGGUUUACCUGUUACCUGAGAAUACAAGUAUUUUGAAAAACGUCAACAUAUGAAAUGUUGGUGAGUUCAUAAGCAAUGUUUGAAAAAUAAUGUUUUGUAUUGUUUUGCAAACCACCAGAAAAUCCGAUAUUUUCUGAGAAAAGUAUCGUAAAAAAAAAGUGUGAAGAUCCGUAAGUAUGCUUGUUUAUUUCUAUAAGUGUAAAAAGAAUUUGUUAUACUUGGUGUGCAUCUCAUAGUUGUAUGUAUUGAAUAACCCUAGGAAAACCCGAUGUUUUCCUAACACUUUGAAUUCCGUAUAGUUGUUGUACCAUCGCGGUAUGUGAAGUCAUUGAUUCCAGGUGACAUUGGAUUAAAUGUGCAUUGUGAAUUGUUAUAAACACGCGUUAACACAAACGACUAGUUUACAACUAUACUAACGAUCCUUUAGGCGUCGUCCGUACUAUUCACUUAAUCUAACCACCCUGACUUCUCGUAGCCCCACAACCGAGGAGAAAAGAGGGCACGAAGACCUUAAUAAUCCCCUUUGUCGUUCAAGGCUAUAGUGAAUGCGAAGGGCCUUUGGCCCGACCCGCAUUUUUGAGAAUUCUCGACUUUACUAGCAGUACUAAAGGACCCUUGGGGCCUAAUAGUAUAAAAGCCAUUGAAAGUCCUUUUACACGGUGUUGGGUCAUGUAAGACCCAACAACUUGUAAGGAAGUUGUCUUCGGGCCUAAAGAUCAGGUCAUUGGGCUAGCUAGGCCCAACAAGCAAGAUUUGACACUUUUGGGCUCAAAGAUGGUGUAUCGACGUCUGUGUAUUCCCACGUAUGUAUUGAUUUCUCUAAUUUUCCGAGUGUGUAUUGAAUUGUCGUCGUGUUAGUAGUUUUGGAUUCGUUAUUGAUUCGAGACCGAAUCAAUUCGUUUGACAAUGAUUUUUGGUGUUGGUUGUGUAUUAUGCUUUGUCGGUAGUCGCAGUACCAAUAUUUUAUCACAACGGAUUUAUUGUUUAAAACAUUGAAGUUUUUCUGUUUACAGCCCCUUUCUUUUGUAAGUUUACAUUUUUAACCCUUUGAAUAAAAUAAUUUCCGAUUUAGUCCUUAAACCAUUUUUCUUGACAUUAUAGUAUCAAAACUUGUUGGAAAUGAUAUUUUCUAGCUCAUAUUCAUUUGAAAACAGUUUUAGUCCCUCAAAAUGUAGUUUUCUUGGCUGAAACCUCAUUUUUUCGCAACUUUUACACUUUUGGCCCAAAAUAGAAAAUUUUUGCAUCUUUGGUCCUUUUUAAUUAUGAAAAGCAUUUUUAACCCUUGAAAUGGACUUGGAGCACUAGUAGUCCCCUGUUUUACAGAAAAAUACAGUUUCAGCCCCUCAAAUUUGAAAAUCUCGCAUAUUGGGCUUUAUUGGGCCGAAAAUUUCAUUUUUGGCCCAUUAUGCUUAAAAUUUUACAUUUUAAUCCCUCAAAAGAAUAUAUUUCCAGAAAAUACAUUAUUGAAACUGUUUUGACAUAUUUCAACCAUCAGAAUUUGUAUCUUGUCAUUUUGGGCCCUUUAACUUUAUAUUUUUAACAUUUUGAGUCCAAAAAUGAGUUUUUAGCCCAAAGAAGUUAAUAUUAAACAACUUGGUUAUUUUUCUAGAUAUGAUUUGUAUGUAGUAAUAUAAUUUAUGCUAGUAUCCUAUAACCCAAAGUAAACCUCGGUUUUNGUAUAAGACCUGCAAUAUGUUUCUUUCAUAUUCUUCACUAAAAUCUCAGAAGCACCAUUUACCUCAUUAAAUAAAAGAGAUGGCAGGUGCAUUUUACUUAUUUGUCUUAUUAACGUUUUCUUCUAUUUUAUCUCUCCAAUGCUUCUUCUUUCAACCACUCAAUCUCUAUGGAGGCUCGACACAAUCAUUUAGGUCAUCGGUACUUCUUCCCCACUUCGUCGCUUCGAAAGAAAUGGGAGAGAGUGAGAUCGGUACAACAGCCCCAAGGGGUAGGUGUGCUUGGGUCGUUUCUUUGAGUUGACAGAGGUGUUUGGAUUGUUGUUCAAAUCAAUAGGGACAGUGGAGGAAAAAGAAAGAGGCUGGGCAGGUUCAUGAAUGGGGUCUUCUGGGUUAUCCAGGUCAGAUUUCUCAUCGCUUUUCCCAUUUUGCCCUUGUGGAAAGAACUUUUUUUUUGAAACUAAAGGGUAUAUAUGUCAUUGGGCAGCAAGUAUACAUGUAUUUCCGAGGCAGUUGGCAGGCUGUUGAGUUAUGUCACACCCCCGAACCAGACGGCGGAAACGUCCGAGGGCUGUUGUGACUCAAUUGAAUACCAUUACAUUAAAUAUACAUGAAACAUAACAUCAUUCAUCACCAUGCAUUGAGAUAGUAUAACUGGUAGAGUUUACAUUUAGUACAUUGUUUUAAACAUUACAUCCCCAAAAAUAAAUUGUUCGAUAAUAGUUAAACAAACAGCAAGUCAUCACUGAGUACAUUUUUCCCUCGGUUUACCUGUUACCUGAGAAUACAAGUAUUUUGAAAAACGUCAACAUAUGAAAUGUUGGUGAGUUCAUAAGCAAUGUUUGAAAAAUAAUGUUUUGUAUUGUUUUGCAAACCACCAGAAAAUCCGAUAUUUUC
This 2844-nucleotide long non-coding RNA is filed under the name Lactuca sativa (garden lettuce). RNAcentral describes it as "long non-coding RNA (LSAT_LNC010300)". Lineage: Eukaryota; Viridiplantae; Streptophyta; Magnoliopsida; Asterales; Asteraceae. The record is from RNAcentral.